UUAUUUUAAUCAUUUUUUUCGUAUUUCAAUUGUUUUUACUUAAUAGGGACAUUGUCGAAAUUUUUCUAUUUGUUGUUGCAUUGCUGAAUUAGUUGUGUUUUCUCAUUGUUUGUUGAUUUUUUUUCUUUUCUAUUGAGUUUAACAUGGUUGACCAAAGAACCCUCGGAGAACUUGUUGCCCCUAAUGUUAAUUAUAAUGCUUUAUGUAUUGAAUUUCCUGUUGCUGUUGUACCUUUCAAAUUGAAAUAUGGUUUAAUACACUUGUAGCCAAUGUUUAAUAGUUUUACAGGUGAAGAUCCGCAUAGGCAUCUAAAAGAAUUUCAGAUUGUGUGUUCUACAAAUUUCCUGUUGCUGUUGUACCUUUCAAAUUGAAAUAUGGUUUAAUACACUUGUAGCCAAUGU
Molecule: long non-coding RNA, 401 nt
Filed under: Lathyrus oleraceus (garden pea)
Lineage: Eukaryota; Viridiplantae; Streptophyta; Magnoliopsida; Fabales; Fabaceae
Description: Pisum sativum (pea) long non-coding RNA (PSAT_LNC038558)
Source: RNAcentral